AUGGCGCCGCCUCCCAAGAACAUGCCACCACCUAACAUUGAAGCUUACGCUCUACCAAGGCUAGAGAUGCGCUUUGAAACUUUCAAAGAAGCAAAGGACUUCUACAAUGUUUAUGCAAAGCACGCGGGUUUUGCUGUCAGGGAAGGCUCCAAGGUCGAGACCAGAGUCUACCUUUAUUGCACGUGCUAUGGAGUCUAUGAAUCGAAGGCUACAGCUCACCCCCAAAUGCUUGUCUUCUUGCACUCCUACAAAAACUUUGACAAAACAAUCUUGGAGUACGUCAAGUACCUGCAGUUCAAAGGCAUUGAACACACGCAAAUCAUGAGCAUACUGGGCGGUGAUGACCCCGGUAGUUACUUCCUCGAAAUGAAUGCCAAAGACCUGAUUAACAUCAAAGCAAAGAAUUCAAGGAUGGAUGAUGUGGACGACGUCCUAAAGACUGUCAACUUAUUUAGGGAGAUGAAAGCUAUAAACAGGGAAUUCUUCUGUGACAUGCAACUUGAUGAGUCCGGCAGUGUUAAGAACAUAUUUUGGGCGAAGGCAAGCUGCCGAGGGGUGUAUCAGGACUUUGGUGACUGCAUAAAGUUUGACACCACAUAUAAGACGAGCAAGUACCAUAUGCCACUUGGGGUGUUUGUGGGUACUAACAACCACUUACAGACUACAUUCUUUGCUUUCGCCCUGAUAAGAGAUGAGGAUGCAGAUUCAUUCAGAUGGUUGUUCAAGACAUUUUUAAGGUGCAUGAGAGGGAAGGCUCCUACAUGCAUCCUCACAGAUGCUUUCAAGAACACAGUACACAAGCUGUGCCGCUGGAACAUUAUGAAGAAGCACGGGGAACACCUCGCAUACCUGUACAACAUGCACGAAAACUUUAAGGAUGAAUUCACAUCAACCCUCAACUGGCCUAUCAUGCCAACUGAGUUUGAGGCUGCCUGGAAAAGACUCAUGGAUAAGUGCAACCUCCAUGAUGAUGCCACGAUGGUGGCCAUGUGGAACGAGCUUAGACAAGUUUUUGCUGCAAGAAAACUAAUAAUUGGGUCAUCAUUCUUGCAUGGGCAGAAGGAACAAAACACGCUGACCUUCUAUUGGUUUGACACCCAGAUGGCAAAGCUUUACUCACAAGCUGUGUACAGCGAGAUCAGAAAAAGGCUAAAACCGAGCACACUCUUCACGGCGACAGAGACGGAAGAGCCCACAAAGUACCUCGUGUGCUACACCAACCCGCAAAAACUGUCUGCGUGGUCUCAUCAUGCAUUCCAGGUUGUUGUAGACCCUGUGGGAGAAAUAUACGAUUGCGAGUGCAAGCUAUGGGACCACACAGACAAGGCCGAUGAGAUGAUCUCCGGGCUCUGGAAGAAGGUUGGCCGCUUGCGUCAUAGGAUCGUCAGCGUUGGUCUGCAGUACACCAGGGAAGAUGAACCUCCCCAGAUGGCAGUAGUCCUGCAUUUGUGCGUGGAGGAACUCUGCCUGGUGUACCACAUUGCAGCGGCCACAAAAUGUUUCAUCAUUGAAGGCGACAAAGAGAAGCUGAAGAUGUCUGGUUUGGAGAUCAACCCCGACAAGCCCAAGCGCCUCAAAGAGUUCCUGCAGGAGGAGAAAUUGUACACAUUUGACGGUUUCAGCAUUGAAGGUGACAAGCGGAUGUUGAACAAGUCUGGUUUGGAGACCAACCCCAACAACUUUAUCGACAUGCAGCACAAGUGGAAAGUUCCAACCACCAGGAAAUUGUACAACUCCUUAGCCGAUGUUGCAGCCAGCGUCAUCCACCCAUUCUACAAAGGCAUGAAGAAGAAGAUCGACACGGAGGAAGACCACAAACUAUGGGGGAUCAGCCCGGUGCCAGACAAGCUCAUCGAGUACGCAGGAAUAGAUGCGUACGCCACCUACAAGUCAUGGAAGAUAAUCGACAACAUCACAAUAGGUUUGGAAAUUUGA
This 1935-nucleotide ribosomal RNA is filed under the name Triticum aestivum (bread wheat). RNAcentral describes it as "partial small subunit ribosomal RNA". The record is from RNAcentral. Lineage: Eukaryota; Viridiplantae; Streptophyta; Magnoliopsida; Poales; Poaceae.